RNAcentral lists this ribosomal RNA (253 nucleotides) under uncultured bacterium. Its description in RNAcentral is "partial 16S ribosomal RNA". It matches the Rfam family "Bacterial small subunit ribosomal RNA", at positions 524 to 776 of the family's 1533-position model. The record is from RNAcentral.
UACGUAGGGUGCAAGCGUUAAUCGGAAUUACUGGGCGUAAAGCGUGCGCAGGCGGCUUUGCAAGACAGAUGUGAAAUCCCCGGGCUCAACCUGGGAACUGCAUUUGUGACUGCAUGGCUAGAGUACGGUAGAGGGGGAUGGAAUUCCGCGUGUAGCAGUGAAAUGUGUAGAUAUGCGGAGGUACACCGAUGGCGAAGGCAAUCCCCUGGACCUGUACUGACGCUCAUGCACGAAAGCGUGGGGAGCAAACAGG